Molecule: ribosomal RNA, 417 nt
Filed under: uncultured soil bacterium
Lineage: Bacteria
Description: bacterial SSU rRNA
Rfam family: Bacterial small subunit ribosomal RNA
Source: RNAcentral
AGAGUGAACGCUGGCGGCAGGCCUAACACAUGCAAGUCGAACGGCAGCACAGGAGAGCUUGCUCUCUGGGUGGCGAGUGGCGGACGGGUGAGGAAUACGUCGGAAUCUGCCUAUUUGUGGGGGAUAACGUAGGGAAACUUACGCUAAUACCGCAUACGACCUACGGGUGAAAGCGGAGGACCUUCGGGCUUCGCGCAGAUAGAUGAGCCGACGUCGGAUUAGCUAGUUGGCGGGUAAAGGCCCACCAAGGCGACGAUCCGUAGCUGGUCUGAGAGGAUGAUCAGCCACACUGGAACUGAGACACGGUCCAGACUCCUACGGGAGGCAGCAGUGGGGAAAUAGUUGGAACAAGUGGGGCCGACAAGCCUGAAUCCAGCCAAUGGCCGCGGUGUGUGAAAGAAGGUCCCGUUAGGGUUA